Molecule: microRNA, 21 nt
Filed under: Apis mellifera (honey bee)
Lineage: Eukaryota; Metazoa; Arthropoda; Insecta; Hymenoptera; Apidae
Description: ame-miR-6058-5p
Source: miRBase by way of RNAcentral
AUGACAAUGGUGAUGACAACG